This 510-nucleotide ribosomal RNA is filed under the name Rhodococcus sp. (in: high G+C Gram-positive bacteria). RNAcentral describes it as "bacterial SSU rRNA". It matches the Rfam family "Bacterial small subunit ribosomal RNA", at positions 302 to 824 of the family's 1533-position model. Lineage: Bacteria; Bacillati; Actinomycetota; Actinomycetes; Mycobacteriales; Nocardiaceae. The record is from RNAcentral.
GACCGGCCACACUGGGACUGAGACACGGCCCAGACUCCUACGGGAGGCAGCAGUGGGGAAUAUUGCACAAUGGGCGAAAGCCUGAUGCAGCGACGCCGCGUGAGGGAUGACGGCCUUCGGGUUGUAAACCUCUUUCAGCAGGGACGAAGCGAAAGUGACGGUACCUGCAGAAGAAGCACCGGCCAACUACGUGCCAGCAGCCGCGGUAAUACGUAGGGUGCGAGCGUUGUCCGGAAUUACUGGGCGUAAAGAGUUCGUAGGCGGUUUGUCGCGUCGUCUGUGAAAACCCACCGCUCAACGGUGGGCCUGCAGGCGAUACGGGCAGACUUGAGUACUGCAGGGGAGACUGGAAUUCCUGGUGUAGCGGUGAAAUGCGCAGAUAUCAGGAGGAACACCGGUGGCGAAGGCGGGUCUCUGGGCAGUAACUGACGCUGAGGAACGAAAGCGUGGGUAGCAAACAGGAUUAGAUACCCUGGUAGUCCACGCCGUAAACGGUGGGCGCUAGGUGUG